Long non-coding RNA from Xiphias gladius (swordfish), 521 nucleotides. RefSeq lists it as uncharacterized. Lineage: Eukaryota; Metazoa; Chordata; Actinopteri; Istiophoriformes; Xiphiidae. The transcript is spliced from 4 exons. The record is from RefSeq and is a predicted model, not a curated record.
GCCAUUCAUGGGUGGUUAACACACAGGAGUACAGUGCAUCUCUAGUGUUGCUGGACUACCUCUAUCUGAUAAUCCACCUGACACAGCACAACACAGACAGACAGACAGCGAGAGGGCGAAAGAGAAGCUCCUGGCUAGGAGGGAAAGGGGCCAGAAGCAGAGGGCAUGACACCUGACCACCAGCAAAAUGAUCCAGUGGACGAACGAAGAAUCCAGUACCUUUUUCACCCAGCCCCCAGUAAUCAAAGAAAAAAGCAGAGAGUUCUCCUCAUGUCCUUGUUCAUCUGGUGAGGGAUACCUGCCAGAGCUGAUUUGCACACCAGAGGACAAUGAUGGUGAUGACUGGUGCAAAAAAGCUCACAUCGCACCAACAUCAGUUAUGCUUCUGAAGCAGAAAAACUUGGAGUGGACUAUACAGUACAUAUUAAUGUCUGUUUUCUACUGAUCUUUGUGACAGUCUGUCUGAUUACAGAAUUUAUAAUGUGUGAUUUGCUGUUAAUUUCCUUGAAUGACAUUGCAAA